Molecule: ribosomal RNA, 235 nt
Filed under: Klebsiella pneumoniae
Lineage: Bacteria; Pseudomonadati; Pseudomonadota; Gammaproteobacteria; Enterobacterales; Enterobacteriaceae
Description: partial 23S ribosomal RNA
Rfam family: Bacterial large subunit ribosomal RNA
Source: RNAcentral
ACCGACACAGGUGGUUGGGUAGAGAAUACCAAGGCGCUUGAGAGAACUCGGGUGAAGGAACUAGGCAAAAUGGCACCGUAACUUCGGGAGAAGGUGCGCCGGUGAGGGUGAAGUAUUUACUACGUAAGCCCAUGCCGGUCGAAGAUACCAGGCCGCUGCGACUGUUUAUUAAAAACACAGCACUGUGCAAACACGAAAGUGGACGUAUCGGGUGUGACGCCUGCCCGGUGCCGGA